GGCGGGAUAGCUCAGUUGGUUAGAGCGUCGGAUUCAUAACCCGGAGGUCUCGAGUUCAAUUCUCGAUCCCGCU
RNAcentral lists this transfer RNA (73 nucleotides) under Muribaculaceae bacterium. Its description in RNAcentral is "tRNA-Met". It matches the Rfam family "tRNA". From Rfam's summary of the family: Transfer RNA (tRNA) molecules are approximately 80 nucleotides in length. RNAcentral also lists the same sequence under 1 other name. The record is from RNAcentral. Lineage: Bacteria; Pseudomonadati; Bacteroidota; Bacteroidia; Bacteroidales; Muribaculaceae.